ACCCCUCUUCCAUGUCUUUGUUUUUUCUCUUUUUGUGCAGCUCCAUUGAAACGAAGCCUUCGUUUAAUGAAUAAUGGAUACUACGACUCUAAUGGGAAACCAACAAUUUCCUAUCGAGAGACGAGAGUCAGGAGUAGGACAAAAAGACGCCCAGUUUGCAGUAAAAUGCAAGAUAACCACCAAGAGAAUGAUAAGCUUUUCACUGUAAAAGAUGGGAUUAUCAGUCCGUUACAACGUAAUGGGAUCAUCUUUGUCAUCUUGCUCUUGUCUGGAUGUAGCUGCAUAUUUUCUGCUCUGCACUUAAGACCUUCAGAGUCAAUAGUUUUAGUAACUCCAGUGGAGAUG
Long non-coding RNA from Xiphophorus couchianus (Monterrey platyfish), 345 nucleotides. RefSeq lists it as uncharacterized. Lineage: Eukaryota; Metazoa; Chordata; Actinopteri; Cyprinodontiformes; Poeciliidae. The record is from RefSeq and is a predicted model, not a curated record. The transcript is spliced from 3 exons.